Long non-coding RNA from Aegilops tauschii subsp. strangulata, 1056 nucleotides. RefSeq lists it as uncharacterized. Lineage: Eukaryota; Viridiplantae; Streptophyta; Magnoliopsida; Poales; Poaceae. The record is from RefSeq and is a predicted model, not a curated record.
CGUGUAGGUAGAUGGAGACGCAACAGGUGCUUGAGAGCUCUCACUGCUCAUGCAUGCACAAAAGCGAGACACCGCACAUGCAUGCAUGGAUGGGUGGCAAGCUUCACCCACGCUUCUCACCGUGUAUCAGUGUACGUACCCCGGCGAGCUCCUUUUACUACCACUCGUUGUUACUACCACUCUCACCACGUGCACGUGUGUGGAGCACGAAGGUUGAUGGAAUGGAAGAUGGAUGGGGCCGGGGAGGUAGGACGGACACGGCGCACCGCGACUAGGGCUCCCUUCUUCUUCUUCUUCCAUGCACGCCGUAGCUAAAGCUGCUAGCCUGAUUGUUCCUUCCUUUCACAUUCGUCUUUGGCUUUCCUCGUGUUGUCUGUACCCCUCUACGUUGUACCUCUAACACUAGCUGCUACUGCCACUACGAAUUAGCUGGAGCUAUAUUUUGCUCUAAGGAAGAACCAAGAUUCCUUGGCUGGAGGCGGGGCCAUGGCGGAAGGUGGCGGAUGCAAGCGUACAAACACGUCAAAAGGUGGCCCGGCCGGGGGCGCCCAAAACCGCGGUGGUUUUGGCCGUAGCUCCACACCGCCGGCUUUUCCCUUGUCUCAUCUGCCCUGCGCUGCGCCCACAACAUUUCUCUCUCUGCCCCUUCUUCUCUGUCUAGAUUUCUCUCUCUGUCUCGGGUCGCUAUCAUCGGGAACAUUGCAAGAUCCCGGCGGGCUUUGCAUGUGCCGCGAAGUGGGCUAGCUUGGACGGGCCGGGGCCGGGCACAAUCACGAACCCAGCCUCACUCAGAACGUGGGUAAAUUAUAGUAAUUCAUUUCUGUCAUGUGAAUGGAUGAAUGUAUGUGGCGUCUAGCUCGCUCCCCGGAUGAAAAGUAAUACCAUAGACAGGUAGACAAUUUUUUUUAGAAAGAUCUGUUUUUUAUAUAUAUAUUUCCCCAUGUUAGUGCUUGCUGUAUUCAUGAAAAAUUCAUGCAAAAAGAUGAUUUUUUUUGUUUCAUAUGUAAAAGAUGCAAAGUUCAGCUCUCUUAAAUAACAAAAAAUAGAAAAUUGUUA